This 1029-nucleotide long non-coding RNA is filed under the name Anas platyrhynchos platyrhynchos (common mallard). RNAcentral describes it as "lncRNA (ENSAPLG00000024480.1)". Lineage: Eukaryota; Metazoa; Chordata; Aves; Anseriformes; Anatidae. The record is from RNAcentral.
AUGGUGAGGUUUGGGUCUGCACAGAAAGUGAGGCAAGGAUGGAGCAGUCACAUUCCUGCCCAGUUCUGUUGCCUAGCCCCAAUGUCUGCUGCCAGUCCCAGAUGGGUGCUUCCCCAUGGCGUGCCUAGGGGCUGCCCAUGCCCAGGGUGCCGGGUACCCACAGAGCAGGAUGCCCUUUGCAUGGUCAGGAGUGUGUGGCACAGGGUGCAGAGUGGGCAGGGUCCUCAAAAGUGCAGUGUCCACAGGGCAGGGUGCUUUCAGUGCAAGGUACCCACAAUGCAGGGGGUGUGUGCUAGCAGGGGGCCCGCAGUGCAGGAUGCUCUUGAGUUAGGGUGCCUGCAGUGCAGGGAGCUUCCCAGGCAGUGUAUGUGUGCUGCAGGGUGCCCACAGUGCAGGCUGCUUGCCAUGCAGCGACCACAGAGGGGGGUGAACACAGUGCAGAGUGGGAUGCUCUUGGUGUGGGGGUGCCCAGGGCACGUGGUGUGUGCAUGGCACGGGGUGUGUGGGGGCUGGCAGUGCCAAGGACACUGGUGUGGGGUGUUUGCUCUUGGCUUGCUGCAAAGUUCAGGACAGCACCAUCUCAACAGCUUCCUGUCGCAGCAGUACAUACAGCCGGCAGUGCAAAACCACAGUCAUCCUGCUCUGACUCGGCCUUGCACUGAGCAGGCUGUGAUUGCUCUUGAGAGCAUCCGGUGUCCUGCCAGCACAGGGACACCAGCGGCAAGAGAGCAGGGGCAGGGGAAAUGGGUUCUGCAGGGCUGUGCCAGCACGGAGGCUGUGGGAGCUGGUGCGAUGUGUGAGCUGCUUGUCCUUGGCUACAGGAUGCUGGGUCCCUGGCAGGAUGCAGCCUCUUGCCCUGAGGUCUCAGGGGACUAUGUCUCUCCCAUCCCUCCUCCCUCUCAACGCCCUCCCCCCCAAAGCUGCAGUCACCCAGCCAGAAACAUUGCCAAGGGCCUCUGCCACCACGGGUUUACUGUCCAGGUACUGGGGGGGGGGGAAGGGGGGCACAGCAUGAUUACAAGGGCAUGA